AACUAAAUAUAAAAGCUUUAAGUGUACAAUUGCAAAUUGUAAGAAUGUUUAUUAAUUUAGUUUUUAGU
This 68-nucleotide transfer RNA is filed under the name Philodina citrina. RNAcentral describes it as "transfer RNA-Cys". Lineage: Eukaryota; Metazoa; Rotifera; Eurotatoria; Philodinida; Philodinidae. The record is from RNAcentral.